Molecule: ribosomal RNA, 1330 nt
Filed under: uncultured Subdoligranulum sp.
Lineage: Bacteria; Bacillati; Bacillota; Clostridia; Eubacteriales; Oscillospiraceae
Description: bacterial SSU rRNA
Rfam family: Bacterial small subunit ribosomal RNA
Source: RNAcentral
CGCUACCAUGCAAGUCGAACGGAGUCAAGAGGAGCUUGCUUUUCUUGACUUAGUGGCGAACGGGUGAGUAACGCGUGAGUAACCUGCCCUGGGGUGGGGGACAACAGUUGGAAACGACUGCUAAUACCGCAUAAGCCCACGGAUCCGCAUGGAUCUGCGGGAAAAGGAUUUAUUCGCUUCAGGAUGGACUCGCGUCCAAUUAGCUAGUUGGUGAGGUAACGGCCCACCAAGGCGACGAUUGGUAGCCGGACUGAGAGGUUGAACGGCCACAUUGGGACUGAGACACGGCCCAGACUCCUACGGGAGGCAGCAGUGGGGGAUAUUGCACAAUGGGGGAAACCCUGAUGCAGCGACGCCGCGUGGAGGAAGAAGGUUUUCGGAUUGUAAACUCCUGUCGUUAGGGACGAUAAUGACGGUACCUAACAAGAAAGCACCGGCUAACUACGUGCCAGCAGCCGCGGUAAAACGUAGGGUGCAAGCGUUGUCCGGAAUUACUGGGUGUAAAGGGAGCGCAGGCGGACCGGCAAGUUGGAAGUGAAAACUAUGGGCUCAACCCAUAAAUUGCUUUCAAAACUGCUGGCCUUGAGUAGUGCAGAGGUAGGUGGAAUUCCCGGUGUAGCGGUGGAAUGCGUAGAUAUCGGGAGGAACACCAGUGGCGAAGGCGACUUACUGGGCACCAACUGACGCUGAGGCUCGAAAGCAUGGGUAGCAAACAGGAUUAGAUACCCUGGUAGUCCAUGCCGUAAACGAUGAUUACUAGGUGUUGGAGGAUUGACCCCUUCAGUGCCGCAGUUAACACAAUAAGUAAUCCACCUGGGGGAGUACGACCGCAAGGUUGAAACUCAAAGGAAUUGACGGGGGCCCGCACAAGCAGUGGAGUAUGUGGUUUAAUUCGAAGCAACGCGAAGAACCUUACCAGGUCUUGACAUCCGAUGCAUAGCUUAGAGAUAAGUGAAGUCCUUCGGGACAUCGAGACAGGUGGUGCAUGGUUGUCGUCAGCUCGUGUCGUGAGAUGUUGGGUUAAGUCCCGCAACGAGCGCAACCCUUAUUGCCAGUUACUACGCAAGAGGACUCUGGCGAGACUGCCGUUGACAAAACGGAGGAAGGUGGGGAUGACGUCAAAUCAUCAUGCCCUUUAUGACUUGGGCUACACACGUAUUACAAUGGCGUUAAACAAAGAGAAGCAAGACCGCGAGGUGGAGCAAAACUCAGAAACAACGUCCCAGUUCGGACUGCAGGCUGCAACUCGCCUGCACGAAGUCGGAAUUGCUAGUAAUCGUGGAUCAGCAUGCCAGCGGUGAAUACGUUCCCGGGCCUUGUACACACCGCC